Molecule: ribosomal RNA, 330 nt
Filed under: uncultured eukaryote
Lineage: Eukaryota
Description: partial 18S ribosomal RNA
Rfam family: Eukaryotic small subunit ribosomal RNA
Source: RNAcentral
CCCUUAGAUGUCCGGGGCUGCACGCGCGCUACACUGUAGAAAGCAGCGUGCUUUAAAACCUUUCUUGAAAAGGAUGGGUAACCCCAGCAAAAUUCUACGUGCUUGGGAUAGAGAUUUGCAAUUUUCUCUCUUGAACGAGGAAUUCCCAGUAAGUGCGAGUCAUCAGCUCGCGUUGAUUACGUCCCUGCCCUUUGUACACACCGCCCGUCGCUACUACCGAUUGGGAAAAUUUUAGAGAGUCCUGGACUGAUGAUUGUUCGGCUUCACGGCCUUACUUUCGUCGGGAAAGAAUUCGAUAAUAUUUUUCUAGAGGAAGUAAAAGUCGUAACA